AUUAUUAGUAAAAAUGUUGAUCAGUUAGACACAAUGGAUGAAUCAUUUACUGAUCUUGAUUCUACUCUCAAUACUUCUACGCUAUCAGUAGCUGCUCCUUUUCCUCCUACUCCAAUGAGAGGUCCUCCCACUAAAAGACAAGCAUUAGGAUAUGGACAUUCAUUUAGUUCAAUGGAUCUCACUAAAUUAGGAUCCACUGGUACACUCUGAUACUGCAUGUGCACAUUAAUUAUUAUUAUUAUUAUAUUUUUAAUUCUCUCUCUGUUUCUAAUGAGAUGUGACGUUAUUAUUGUAAUCUUGUCUUCUCUCUAUUGCUUUACAAUUAAUAAGUUAACAAUUUAACACUACAGUAA
Molecule: long non-coding RNA, 353 nt
Organism: Amphimedon queenslandica
Lineage: Eukaryota; Metazoa; Porifera; Demospongiae; Haplosclerida; Niphatidae
Exons: 2
Source: RefSeq, a predicted model, not a curated record